UAGCCAGACUCCUACGGGAGGCAGCAGUGGGGAAUAUUGGGCAAUGGGCGCAAGCCUGACCCAGCAACGCCGCGUGAAGGAAGAAGGCUUUCGGGUUGUAAACUUCUUUUGUCAGGGACGAAGCAAGUGACGGUACCUGACGAAUAAGCCACGGCUAUCUACGUGCCAGCAGCCGCGGUAAUACGUAGGUGGCAAGCGUUGUCCGGAUUUACUGGGUGUAAAGGGCGUGUAGCCGGGUUGACAAGUCAGAUGUGAAAUCCUGCGGCUUAACCGCAGAACUGCAUUUGAAACUGUUGAUCUUGAGUACUGGAGAGGCAGACGGAAUUCCUAGUGUAGCGGUGAAAUGCGUAGAUAUUAGGAGGAACACCAGUGGCGAAGGCGGCCUGCUGGACGAUGACUGACGUUGAGGCUCGAAAGCGUGGGGAGCAAACAGGAUUAGAUACCCUAGUA
This 450-nucleotide ribosomal RNA is filed under the name uncultured bacterium. RNAcentral's name for it is "bacterial SSU rRNA". It matches the Rfam family "Bacterial small subunit ribosomal RNA", at positions 328 to 792 of the family's 1533-position model. The record is from RNAcentral.